UUUUUUUUUUUUUUUGUCUUUUUAGGGCUGCACACAUGGGAACCCAUGAAGGUUUCCAGGCUAGGGGUCAAAUUGGAACAUAUCGAACCUAUGUCCUCAUGGAUACUAGUCAGAUUUGUUUCUGCUGAGUCACGAUGGGAACUCCUGCUUGUUUUUCUUUUAAUUUUUUUAUUAUAGUUGAUUUACAAUGUUUUAUAAAUUUCUGGUGUACAGCAAAGUGACCACACACAUUCUUUUUCUCAUAUUAUCUUUUAUCAUGUUCUAUCCCAAAUGAUUGGAUAUAAUUCCCUGUGCUGUACAGCAGGACCUCAUUGCUUAUCCGUUCUAAAUGUAAUACCUUGCAUCUACAAACCUCUAAACUCCCAGUCCCUCCCACUCCCCCUUGGCAACCACAAGUCUGUUCCCCAAGUCCAUGAUUUUCUUUUCUGUGGAAAGGUUCGUUUGUGGCAUAUAUUGGAUUUCAGAUAUAAGUGAUAUCCUAUGGUAUUUGUCUUUCUCUUUCUGACUCACUUCAUUUAGUAUGAGAGUCUCUAGUUCCAUCCAUGUUGCUGCAAAUGGCAUUAUUUUGUUCUUUUUUAUGGCUGAGUAGUAUUCCAUUGUGUAUAUAUACUACAUCUUCUUAAUCCAUUCAGCUGUUGAUGGACAUUUAGGUUUUUCCAUGUCUUGGCUAUUGUGUAUAUGCUGCAAUGAACAUACGGGUGCAUGUAUCUUUUUCAGUGAAAGUUUUGUCCUGAUAUAUGUCCAGGAGUGGAUUGCUGGAUCAUAUGGUAGUUCUAUAUUUAGUUUUCUGAGGACCUUCCAUACUGUUUUCCAUAGUGGUUGUACCAAUUUGCAUUCCCACCAACAAUGUAGGAGGGUUCCCUUUUCUUCACACCUUCUCUAGCAUUUGUUAUUUGUAGACUUAUUAAUGAUGGCCAUUCUGACCGGUGUGAGGUGUUACUUCAUUGCGGUUUUGAUUUGCAUUUCUCUGGUAAUUAGUGAUGAUGAGCAUCCAUCCAUUGGAUGGAUGACACAUGGAUGGAUGUUGGCCAUCCAUAUAUCUUCUUUGGAGAGAUGUCUAUUUAGGUUUUCUGCCUGUUUUUCAAUUGGGUUGUUUACUUUUUUGUUGUUGAGUUGUAGGAGUUGUUUGUGUAUUUUGGAGAUUAAGCCCUUGCUGGUUGCAUUGUUGAUAGUUAUUUUUUUCCCCAUUCCAUAGGUUGUCUUUUUUUUUUUUAUGGUUUCCUUUGCUGUGCAAAAGCUUGUAAGUUUGAUUAGGUCCUAUUGGUUAAUUUUUGUUUUUAUUUCCAUUGCCUUGGGAGACUUACCUAAGUAAACAUUUGUACAGUUGAUGUCAGAGAAUGUUUUGCCUAUGUUCUCUUCUAGGAGUUUGAUGGCAUCUUGUCUUAUGUUUAAAUCUUUAAGCCAUUUUGAAUUUAUUCUUGUGCAUGGUAUGAGGGUGUGUUCUAGUUUCAUUGAUUUGCAUAUAGCUGUCCAGUUUUCCCAGCACCGCUUGCUGAAGAGACUGCCAUUUCCCCAUUUUAUAUUCUUGCCUCCUUUGUUGAAGAUUAAUUGACUGUAAGUGUCUGGGUUUAUUUUGGGUUCUCUAUUCUGUUCCAUUGGUCUGUAUGUCUGUUUUGGUACCAGUGCCACACUGUCUCGAUGAUUGUAGCUUUAUAAUAUUACCUGAAGUCUGGGAGAGUUAUGCCUCCUGCUUGUCUUUUUUUUUUUUUUCCCCAUCAGGAUUAUUUUGGCAAUUCUGGGUUUUUAUGGUUCCAUAUAAAUUUUGGGAUUGUUUGGUCUAGCACUGACUCUUUGCUACCACUUCCUCACUCUCUCAGUUCUGCCUGGGGUCCCUGUGUACAGAAGUUCUCUGCUCCAGUGUCUCCAGAAAAUUCAUCUCCUGUCUGAUGAAGUGGAGGGGCAGUCACCUGGCCAUGCUGGCUUUGCAAGGAACCUACAGCUCUAACUUUUCCUCGGACAGUCUUUCAGCCCAGCCUGUGCUGACCAUGAAAGGUGCCCAGUACCUCCCGUUCCCCAAACUUUCCAAGGUUUUUCUGUGUCUUCUUCAUGGCUUCCCUCCUCUCCAAGCAACAUGCUUCCAUCGCUCUUUCCUCUGCUGAGUAGGUAACUACUCGUCUACCUUCUGCCAAAGUCUUGUUGCUUUCUCUCACCUGUUGUUAUUUCCUCCAGUUCUUUGUUUUUAUUAUUAUAUGAUUCUUAUUUAUAUUCUAGGGUUUCAGCUGAAUGUCUGUGGGUCUGCUGUGUGCAUGUAAAAGUGAACUAAUGCUUUAAUACCACACUCUACAUAUUGACAUGUUUUUUUUUCCCCUCUCACUUGUCAUUUGGCUCUUUCUAUUCCUUCCCUAUGGAAACAAAAAUUACAUCCAUUUUAAAAUGUUGCACAACUUUCUUUUAAAAUCUAUAAAUACUCAAAGUUAGCAUAUACCUAAUUAGAUAGAUGUUGCAGCUGUGGAAACUGUAAAUUUUUUUUAAGACAUGCAACUACAUAAUCUAAAGAAGCUAAGCAUAUUUUUUUUUUCUGGUGUAGAUGAUGCUGUAAUGAACUCAUUACAGUUGCAAAGAGUUUGUUUUUUGUUUUUUUUUCAUUUUUGUAUCAGAGUAUGUUCCAGGGGCCUUUUUAAGCUCAAAUUGUUCCUAUGGUAUCUAUGAUUUAUAAAGACAGGUGUGAGAAACAUUUUCAGAUGUUUCUUCUGUACCACAUGUUAGCCCUGUAUUCCUUUGGCUGCACGCCCACUGAAAGGUGUUUGAAACAGCUCUGUGGUAUAUACAGUUCUUUAAUUAUCAGCUCUCUGGGUUUGAGAAAGUAAAGUUGAUAAAAUCUAGACAGAAUGUUUUGGGAAACAGUGUCUGUGCAUUUGUAGUGGCUGUUUCUUUAUGUGUGUUUGUUUAGUAUUUUAUUAAACCUAGUUUUCACACCAGCACAUGGUUACUUAAAAAGGCAGCUAUUGCAUGCUUUGAUGUCAGGGGCUGUGGCAAGAUAUUGGCCUGCACUUUCUCUUCGGUCCUUGAGGAAGAACCUUGCUAUUGGGUCUGUUAUUGCUCUCAUGCUGCAGGGGAAGAAACCACAGCUUUGGAUGUUGGAGCGUCACUAAGUGGUGGAAGCAGGGCCAUCUCUAGGCUCUCUUAUGAUGGGGACCAGGUAUUAGCCAGGCCGUGGUGAACCUUUUGGGAUCGGUAUAUUCCAUCUUUGGAAUAGGCAUAAUGUCUAUAGCAUUGUCAUGUGAUUUGCUUUUGAACAGAAUGAUAAUGCCGUUCCAAUAAACUUUUUUUCCUUUGCUGGUUGACUUGUGCCCCUGGAAUAGCAUGCUUCCUGACGGGCUGCCAUUUCAGCCCUCAUACUUGGUCCGGCAAAUUCUUCAUUCUGCUUCCUUGGGCUUUAUUUAAGGUCCAGUAUCCCUUGCCUCCAGUAGAUGGAUGAGAUGGAGAGGCCAAAUAAUUCAGCAUCAUAUUGAUAUUUUUUUUUUAUCCUUUAAGCUUUCAGGUCACCCCAGGGUGACACAAAGAGCUCAGUUACUAGGCAACUGCUUAAAAAAUUGGGCAGCCUCACUGGACUGAUUCUGAACCUUACAUCUGUCCACCCAUCAAUGCUGCUCCUGGAAGCGUUGGCCUCCCCAGUCCUUUCAGAUGAUCCAUGCCUAGAACUGUUGAUCCAUCCUUGGCCAUGUCUUCCCUUGCUAGGGCAUCAGGGGUGUGGGCCUGCAGUUUGGCCAAAAGAUUCCUCAUUUUGUGUUUUGCUAUACUUGUCAUGAAAGCUGGGAUACGACUGUAGCAUUUGCCAUGAGGUCUAUGUUCACAGGCCUCUGAAUGUCAUCUGAGAACCUGGUUUUGCUCUCUUACAUCCUGGGUGUUUUGGUGGUGUUCUUGGGAGCCUGCAUUAGGACGCUGAGUCUAUGUAAUGUCUUAGAAAGCAGCUGCGCUCUGCUCGAUGGAAUACAUGUAUUCCUGAAAUGAGGCAUGCUAAGCAAAAUUGCUCAACUCACAUAAUUUCUUCAGCUGAUUUCGGUAUGAUUUGAGAUAUGAGCAUGCAAAAGGUCACGACAAAGAAUUCUGGCCCCGUUAUCCAUUCAUGCAUAAAAUGCGAAAUAUUGUAACUUGAAUAAAGGAUGUAGAAUAAGCUAUACAUCUCAUUCUUGGCAACCAGAUUGACUAUAGAUGCUUCGGAAUUUUACAAUUCAAAGAUGUAAAGUGUUGGAGUUCCCGCCAUGGCACAGUGGGUUAAGAAUCUGACUGCAUUGGCCUGGGUCACUGUGGAGGUGUGGGUUCGAUGCCCGGCCUGGCAUAGUGAGGUAAAGGAUCCAGUGUUGCUGAGGCUGUGGUGUAGGUUACAGCUGUGGCUCGUAUUCAGUCCCUGACCUGGGAACUUCGUAUGCCAUGAGCCAUGAAGAAAUUGAAAGAAAAAGAAAAGAUGUAAAAUUUAACGAUUAUUUGUAACCAUUCCCCAUUCUCUCCAGCCAUCAAAUUCUUCAUCCUUUUUUGCAAAGACAACCUCCACCCUGAAAUUGGUAGGUGGGUUGUAGAUAUGUGCGUAUGUGUGUGUAGUGUGUUUAUGAGUAUAUAGCUCCCUAAUCAAUAUUUGAUGUUAUCUCUGUAUUAAACAUUAUGAUUCUGUAUUAAAAUAUCAAAUGGUUCCCUACUAUGUAUGGUAGUCUUCUGCAACUCAUUUUGUUUUCAAUCAGUGUAUUUGCAGAGAUUUAUUCAUAUUGAUAUGUGUGCUUACUUCACUCCUUUUAAUCUAGCGGAUAAACCAUACAUUGUACAUUCCUGUAUUGAUAAGUAUCUGUUUCCCCCUACUUUUUGCCAUUGCGCGGGUACAAGGAUACCUGUACCUGUCCCCACAUAUGUAGACGUGAGCUCUAGGGAAUCUCUGACAGAAUUAUUAGGUGGUAGAGUAAGCCAGUUUUCUACUUUGAUGUAUGUUGCUACAUCGCUUUCUAAACUGGUUGUCCAAGUUUACGUGCCUACUCGUCAGAGAGUUCUGGUUGUCCACGGUUUUGCCAAUACCUGGAAUUUUCAAACUUUUAUUUUCUUUUUUAGGGCUCUACUGCAGCAUAUGGAAGUUCCCAAACUAGGGGCGGAACCAGACUGCAGCUUCCAGACCACGCCACAGCCACUGCAACUCAGGAUCCUUCACCCACUGAGUGGGGCCAGGGAUCAAACCUGCGUCCUCAUGAAUACUAGUCAGGUUCGUUACCGCUGAGCCACAAUGGGAACUCCAGUAUUUUCAAACUUUUUAAGGUUGCCAAGCCGGAUGUGAAACAUCUCAUUGUUUUUAUUGGUAUUUUCCUGAUUGCUAGAGACUUUAAGACUCUUCUUAAUGUGUGUAUAUGUUUCUCUGUGUUUCUUCUUUGGGUCACGUAUCAUUUGCCCAUUUUUCUCUCUAAGUUUGUUUUAAGAAAUCCUUGUCUCUUUCCUGAGCUCCAAAAGAGAUGUUUAUCAUUUCUUCUAAAUUUUAAGUCUUGGCUCUUCACUUUUGGUAUAACUGGAAUUUAUUUUUUAUUUGUUGUGUGAGGGUAUGUUCUAUUGUUUCCCCAUAGAGAUAAGAUACCAACCAUCCUCGUAACAUUUAUUGAAUCCUUGCAUCCUGAUAAACACUAAGUUUAGACAGCUAUGCUUCUGGAUUUCUUGUUCUGGUGGACUGUUGCUUUAUCCUAUUUCCAGUAUCAUACCAAUUUCAGCAUCCUGUAAUAUAAUGAGCCUGAUGUAUUUAGAUUGGUCGAUAUAUAGUGGUCUAAAGAGCAGACACUGGGGUCAGUGUGCCAGGAUUUGCGUAUCCGCUCUGCCACCUAUGACCUUGUGUGACCUUGGGAAGGUGAUAAACCAUCCUGAAAAUCUCACCUUUCAGGACCGUCUGUGCUGGGCAAACCAUGAUGGCUGGGCACCCUAAACUCAGUCAAAUUACGCUCUCUCUUUUUCCUCCAGUUUCUCUGUGACAUGGUAAUGAUAGUAUCUGCACCCCUGGCGGUGUGGGGAAGAUUAAAUAAGAUGAUACAUGAGAGGUGCUCUGAACAGGCCUGGCCCAUGUGGGGGGCUCAAAAAGGUAAUUUCUCCUGCCCCUCUCCCUUCCUCUCCUUUAAAAUGUUCUUGAGUAUUCUUGAAACAUUAGUAUUACCUAUGAACUGUAGAAUCUCCUUGCUAAACUCUUCAGAAUCCUCAGUGGGAACUUAUAGGUCAAUUUGGGCAGAACUGACAUUCUCAUGGCAUCAGAGCUUUUUGCCAUAAACAUGGCCGUUUCUUUAUAUGUUUUUCUUAAUAGUAUUCAGUAAGUUAAAAAAAUUCUCUCUGAAGUUCUUCCAUAUCUAAGAUAUAUUUCAAGGUACUCUAACUACCUACUAGAGUUGUUAUUAUUAUGAAUGGCUUCAGUAUUUUUAAAAUUAAAAAAUGCUAGGAGUUCCCUGGUGGCUCAGUGGGUUAAGGAUCUGGUUGUGUUGUUGCUGUGGCUGUGCUUCGAUCCCUGGCUGGGGAACUUAGACAUGCCGUGGAUGUAGCCAAUAAUAGUAAUAAUAUAAAAUAAAAUAAAAAUUGGAUCAUGGAAAAUUCUAAACAUAUGCAAAAGUAGACAGACUGGUAUAAUGAACAUUCUUGUGUCUGUUAUUCAGCUUCGGCAAGCACCAGCUUGUGGCUAGUCUUGUAUUAUCUGGGGAAUUAAAUCCUUUUAAAAAGUUCUAAUUGAUGUUUUCUCUUUCAGUGUAAAUGAAUGUUACUCAUUUCUGUACUUGGAUUUUGAAUUCAGUAACCAUGCUUGAUUUUUAUUAGUUCUAAUGGCUUCAUGACUAACUUCAUAGACAUUCUAAGAGAAUUGUCAUCUGAAAACGAUGGUACUUUUUGCUCAUUCCUUUAUAGUUCUCGGGCAUUCCACCACUUUCAUUUCUUUUCUUUCAUUGGCUAGCACCUCCCUUAUAGGGAUAAACGAAAGUGGCGAUUGGGAAUGUCCUUGAGUUUUUUCCUCUUCACUUUAAUGAGAAUAGCUUUUCAUCAUUGAUUAGGAUGUUUACUGCAAAAUUUUGUUAGAUGCAUCUCUUUUUUUAAUCUAAAGUAAGAGCAUUUCUCUGUACUGCUAGUUUACUAAAAUGUUUUCAACAUAUAUACGUGGUUAUUUAAUGAAAAAAAAAAAAA
RNAcentral lists this long non-coding RNA (7113 nucleotides) under Sus scrofa (pig). Its description in RNAcentral is "lncRNA (ENSSSCG00035036371.1)". The record is from RNAcentral. Lineage: Eukaryota; Metazoa; Chordata; Mammalia; Artiodactyla; Suidae.